Molecule: ribosomal RNA, 460 nt
Filed under: uncultured bacterium
Lineage: Bacteria
Description: partial 16S ribosomal RNA
Rfam family: Bacterial small subunit ribosomal RNA
Source: RNAcentral
CCUACGGGGGGCAGCAGUGAGGAAUAUUGGUCAAUGGACGAGAGUCUGAACCAGCCAAGUAGCGUGAAGGAUGACUGCCCUAUGGGUUGUAAACUUCUUUUAUAUGGGAAUAAAAUGUUCCACGUGUGGGAUUUUGUAUGUACCAUAUGAAUAAGGAUCGGCUAACUCCGUGCCAGCAGCCGCGGUAAUACGGAGGAUCCGAGCGUUAUCCGGAUUUAUUGGGUUUAAAGGGAGCGUAGGUGGAUUGUUAAGUCAGUUGUGAAAGUUUGCGGCUCAACCGUAAAAUUGCAGUUGAAACUGGCAGUCUUGAGUAUAGUAGAGGUGGGCGGAAUUCGUGGUGUAGCGGUGAAAUGCUUAGAUAUCACGAAGAACUCCGAUUGCGAAGGCAGUUCACUGGACUGCAACUGACACUGAGGCUCGAAAGUGUGGGUAUCAAACAGGAUUAGAUACCCGAGUAGUC